RNAcentral lists this ribosomal RNA (253 nucleotides) under uncultured bacterium. RNAcentral's name for it is "partial 16S ribosomal RNA". It matches the Rfam family "Bacterial small subunit ribosomal RNA", at positions 524 to 776 of the family's 1533-position model. The record is from RNAcentral.
UACGUAGGGUGCAAGCGUUGUCCGGAAUUAUUGGGCGUAAAGAGCUCGUAGGCGGUUCGUCGCGUCGGCUGUGAAAUCCCGAGGCUCAACCUCGGGUCUGCAGUCGAUACGGGCGGACUGGAGUUCGGCAGGGGAGACUGGAAUUCCCGGUGUAGCGGUGAAAUGCGCAGAUAUCGGGAAGAACACCCGUGGCGAAGGCGGCUCUCUGGGACGGUACUGACGCUGAGACGCGAAAGCGUGGGGAGCGAACAGG